CGCAUCUGUGCAUGCAGCAUAUCAAUAAGCGGAGGAAAAGAAACUAACAAGGAUUCCCUUAGUAACGGCGAGUGAAGCGGGAAGAGCUCAAAUUUGAAAUCUUCAAGGUUUUACCUUGACGAAUUGUAGUUUAAAGAAGUGUUUUCUGUUGAAGUUUUGGUAAAAGUUCUUUGGAAUAGGACAUCAUAGAGGGUGAGAAUCCCGUAUUUGACCAUUAUUUUCAGCUGUGUGAUACACUUUCAAAGAGUCGGAUUGUUUGGGAAUGCAGUCCAAAAUGGGUGGUAAAUUUCAUCUAAAGCUAAAUAUUGGUGAGAGACCGAUAGCGAACAAGUACCGUGAGGGAAAGAUGAAAAGAACUUUGAAAAGAGAGUUAAACAGUACGUGAAAUUGUCAAAAGGGAAGCGUUUGGACACAGUGUUGUUUUCUCGAAAAUCAAUUAAAAAGAGUUAGAUUUUGUUGUGUAUUGACCUUAACAGCUUGCAUUUCAAUUUUCUUGCUCUUUUUUAAUGCACUUUUCGUUUAACAAGUCAACAUCAGUUUCUUUUGUUGUAAAAAGGUCAUUGGAAGGUGGCUUUCUUUUCGGAGAAAGUGUUUAUAGCCUUUGACUCCCUGCAAUCGGAGAGACUGAGGUCUGCAGCGUAGAUCCUUCGGGGUUAGAUACAUUUGUGCUAAGUUAUAGCUUUUUAUAGACAACUUGUUGACUAUGAUUAGUCUUGUAGCUUACUCGCUUAUGCUAUUUUACCUACGCUUAGGAUGUUGACGCGCGAUCUAUACAUGACUAGGCAUAUCAAUAAGCGGAGGAAAAGCAUAACAUGUAUACCUACGCUUAGGAUGUUGACGCAUGAGAUAUACGC
RNAcentral lists this ribosomal RNA (854 nucleotides) under uncultured Neocallimastigales. RNAcentral's name for it is "partial large subunit ribosomal RNA". It matches the Rfam family "Eukaryotic large subunit ribosomal RNA", at positions 26 to 633 of the family's 3401-position model. Lineage: Eukaryota; Fungi; Neocallimastigomycota; Neocallimastigomycetes; Neocallimastigales. The record is from RNAcentral.